This 591-nucleotide long non-coding RNA is filed under the name Capra hircus (goat). RNAcentral describes it as "lncRNA (ENSCHIG00010001110.1)". Lineage: Eukaryota; Metazoa; Chordata; Mammalia; Artiodactyla; Bovidae. The record is from RNAcentral.
CCAAAACGGAGUAUCACAUUCUUCAGAUUCUUGUCUGAAAGCCAGAAAGGCAGGCGGGCGGGGGCGGGGGCGGGGGUGGGGGUGGGAGGUGUAGGGGGUGUGGGGCUCUCUGCCAUUUCAACCUAAGGAUAAUUAAAGCCUGCAACUUGCUUUAAAGGGGAAGAGAGUCACCAUUUUUCAGCCUCUAACACACAGAUCUGUCUCAGGUGUGCAGGGAAGAAGGUUGGAGGUGUGAAGCCACAACGACGAAAAGGCCUGAUGAAUUCCACCGUGCUCGGCGGCCAGUAAUUAAUCCCAUGAUGAGGCAUUCUUCAUGAGCACUUGGCAAGGCGCAGCUACCUCCUCCUCACCCUGACCUGGUACUGAUCCAAAACCCGACAACAGACUGGAGUGGGGACCCGGUGAGGUUGGCAAAACCUGAAACAGGACCACAGAAGUCUCCAAGUGACCACAUCCCACCCUGGCCUUCUCACUCUCCGGGAAGAUAACAGAAUUCCUGCCAAGCAGCUCCCUUGAGCUGGGAGCUGGGGCUAGUGGGGAACAGGACAGCAAAGAGAUGGAAAGAGUGAAGAAAUGACAGCAAGGAAGUCA